AGCGAACGCUGGCGGCAGGCCUAACACAUGCAAGUCGAACGCACCUUCGGGUGAGUGGCGGACGGGUGAGUAACACGUGGGAACGUACCUUUUGGUUCGGAAUAACGCAGGGAAACUUGUGCUAAUACCGAAUGUGCCCUUCGGGGGGAAAGAUUUUAAUCGCCAUUAGAGCGGCCCGCGUAGGAUUAGCUAGUUGGUGG
This 200-nucleotide ribosomal RNA is filed under the name uncultured bacterium. RNAcentral describes it as "partial 16S ribosomal RNA". It matches the Rfam family "Bacterial small subunit ribosomal RNA", at positions 29 to 255 of the family's 1533-position model. The record is from RNAcentral.